CAACAACAUUUGGGACAUACUGAAAUACUGUAGACAGUAUUUAUUAGCAUCAAAUACAAGCUGAUGGCUUAAAAAGAUUUAAAAAGAUUAAUCAAGUUAGAAAAACUUGAAGUUUGAGUUAUUUCUUUCUUGAUAAUAUAUUGAAGACAAUAGUAAGGACAGCACUGAAGUAGGAGUGAUGUGUAUUUAAAGAUCUUACCUCUUUAAACUUGAAAAAGAGAAACAUGAAACCCCUGGACAUUCUUAGACCCUUUAUCUAUAUUCAAACUGCAUUAAUAAAAAUAAAAAUAUUUUAGCUUCAAUAAGUUUGUUCGUCUAGUCAAAUUACAUUUUCUUUUAGUUUUCACUCACUGCUUUAAGAUGAAACCAAAUAGUGAGCCUUUUCUGACUAAUCUGUCCUUUUGAUCAGCAACAAAACAAAACAAAUUUUACAAAAGUAUACAGCUCUAAUACAAAGACAAUAGACUUCAUAUAUAUUCAUGUUGAGGUGUUACCUUGUUUUUAAACAAAAUAUUUUUAAAUUGGGUUUUUGCUGUACAUUUAAAUGAUGUUUCAGUUUUCUGACAUGUUUGGUUUUUCUAUUAUUCCCUUAAAUAUGACGAUCUUUAAUUGAACCGACGCUCUGAGGUGAGACAACGCACAAUGCCUUUAGGCAAAAUCGACACAUUUCUUGUUGCUAUAGUUACCACUGAACAAAAAUAAACAGAUUUUACAGAACAAAACAAAUAAAUUAUUUGAUGGGUUUCCCACUGAAAAUAUUUAUAGUUGCAUGAUUCAGUUAUAAAAAUCUCAAGUAUAUUGGAUUUGUGUGAGAAGUUCAAAUAUCUCACAUAUUUUAUUGUAAUUCAAUUAAGUAGGUUGUCUAGUUAAAGUAAAUAUCCAUAUCUAUCUGUAGUUGUGCUCUUUCCUGCUUUAUUGAUAUAUUUUUUAUUUUUGCAUAGAAAUAAGUUAUUGGAUCAACUUGUUGUUUUGUGAGGCUGUGGGAGCAGAUCAGAGAUAAAAGAUUUAAUGAGAAGAAACACAAAUUUACAGUCAUGACAGGAGGAGAAAAAAACAAUGUUGCCUUAGAGAUGCCAUGUUUCAAUAACUGUGAAAAAUGGAGCCAAAAGGAAUGUUUAUGUUGGGUUCCAGGUGGUGGGGAUUAGUGCGUUUCCUUUUCAGUUCUUCGCCAGUCCACCAGAGGGAGCCAUUGGGUCACUCUGCUGGGGAGGGCGUGCCUGCAGGCUCUCAACUCUCCACACCUGAGAGGAAUCAUUGUCUGGAGGAGUAUAUGAGCAGCAGACAGCCAACACUUUCUUGCCAGAGUGUUUGCCAGUUUUUGGAAUCCUUUGAGGCCCUUGGGAUUGGUUUUCUCUAGUUCACCAGUCCAGAAGAAACCUUUUUCCGUGACGCCUCUGCUGUCUGCUCUGCAGCUCCUCUGUAGGGACAUAUCUGACCUGCCCACCCUCCAACACCUGGUCCAUCUCCACCCAGCCUACAUCAGCUCUCUCCUCAAUCUGGAACCACGUACCUCCAUCCGUCAUUCACCACUUGUUUUUUCAAACGCACCCGGACUCCGACCCGCUGACAUCUCUAGCAGAGCUUCUUUGUUUGAUUUUGUAUUUUUGCAAUAAACAUUUUUUUACGUCCA
Long non-coding RNA from Poecilia reticulata (guppy), 1630 nucleotides. RefSeq lists it as uncharacterized. Lineage: Eukaryota; Metazoa; Chordata; Actinopteri; Cyprinodontiformes; Poeciliidae. The record is from RefSeq and is a predicted model, not a curated record.